Molecule: ribosomal RNA, 373 nt
Filed under: uncultured bacterium
Lineage: Bacteria
Description: bacterial SSU rRNA
Rfam family: Bacterial small subunit ribosomal RNA
Source: RNAcentral
GGGGGGGGCAAGCGUUGUUCGGAAUUACUGGGCGUAAAGGGUCGGUAGGUGGCCCGCUAAGUCACACGUGAAAUCCCUCAGCUCAACUGGGGAACUGCGUGUGAGACUGGCAGGCUCGAGUGCAGGAGAGGAACGCGGAAUUCCAGGUGUAGCGGUGAAAUGCGUAGAUAUCUGGAGGAACACCGGUGGCGAAGGCGGCGUUCUGGACUGUAUCUGACACUGAACGACGAAAGCCAGGGGAGCAAACGGGAUUAGAUACCCCGGUAGUCCUGGCCCUAAACGAUGAAUGCUUGGUGUGACGGGUAUCGAUCCCUGUCGUGCCGCAGUUAACGCGUUAAGCAUUCCGCCUGGGGAGUACGGUCGCAAGGCUGAA